AUGUGCAAAUUUAAGCAUCAGCUCCUCCCACUACUUCUCCUCUACAUGCAGAAGCUCUGGCUCUUUCUUUUGCAGCUCAAGUGGCUAGUAAGCUCAAUAUUUGGCAGCCAACCUUUCUCAUGGAUUGUUUCUCUUUAUCUUUGGUGGCUGCUACCGGCAAGAUUAUGGAAUCUACCACCCCUUGGAGCAUCAGGAAGCCUUUGGCUGAUUUCUUCAAGCAUGUUAACAGCUUGCAACCUCGAGUGUUUCACAUUUCUUGGGAAAUUAAUGGCAUAG
Molecule: ribosomal RNA, 276 nt
Filed under: Triticum aestivum (bread wheat)
Lineage: Eukaryota; Viridiplantae; Streptophyta; Magnoliopsida; Poales; Poaceae
Description: partial small subunit ribosomal RNA
Source: RNAcentral